GAUGAAGAACGUAGCGAAAUGCGAUAAGUAAUGUGAAUUGCAGAAUUCAGUGAAUCAUCGAAUCUUUGAACGCACAUUGCGCCCCUUGGUAUUCCGAGGGGCAUGCCUGUUCGAGUGUCAUUAUAACCCCUCAAGCUCAGCUUGGUGUUGGGGCCUGCUGCACUGGCAGCCCUUAAAAUCAGUGGCGGCGCCAUCUGGCUCUAAGCGUAGUAAUUCUUCUCGCUAUGGAGUCCUGGUGGAUGCUUGCCAUAAACCCCCAAUUUUUCUAUGGUUGACCUCGGAUCAGGUAGGGAUACCCGCUGAACUUAAGCAUAUCAAUAAGCGGAGGA
RNAcentral lists this unclassified non-coding RNA (329 nucleotides) under soil metagenome. RNAcentral describes it as "partial contains 5.8S ribosomal RNA, internal transcribed spacer 2, and large subunit ribosomal RNA". The stretch from base 1 to 120 matches the Rfam family "5.8S ribosomal RNA", at positions 35 to 154 of the family's 154-position model. The record is from RNAcentral.